GGUUAAGCGACUAAGCGUACACGGUGGAUGCCCUGGCAGUCAGAGGCGAUGAAGGACGUGCUAAUCUGCGAAAAGCGUCGGUAAGGUGAUAUGAACCGUUAUAACCGGCGAUGUCCGAAUGGGGAAACCCAGUGCAAUUCGUUGCACUAUCGUUAACUGAAUACAUAGGUUAACGAGGCGAACCGGGGGAACUGAAACAUCUAAGUACCCCGAGGAAAAGAAAUCAACCGAGAUUCCCCCAGUAGCGGCGAGCGAACGGGGAGCAGCCCAGAGUCUGAAUCAGCUUGUGUGUUAGUGGAACGGUCUGGAAAGUCCGACGGUACAGGGUGAUAGUCCCGUACACCAAAAUGCACAGGCUGUGAACUCGAAGAGUAGGGCGGGACACGUGGUAUCCUGUCUGAAUAUGGGGGGACCAUCCUCCAAGGCUAAAUACUCCUGACUGACCGAUAGUGAACCAGUACCGUGAGGGAAAGGCGAAAAGAACCCCGGCGAGGGGAGUGAAAAAGAACCUGAAACCGUGUACGUACAAGCAGUGGGAGCACCUUCGGGUGUGACU
Molecule: ribosomal RNA, 556 nt
Filed under: Pseudomonas aeruginosa
Lineage: Bacteria; Pseudomonadati; Pseudomonadota; Gammaproteobacteria; Pseudomonadales; Pseudomonadaceae
Description: partial 23S ribosomal RNA
Rfam family: Bacterial large subunit ribosomal RNA
Source: RNAcentral